UACAGAGGUCUCAAGCGUUGUUCGGAUUCAUUGGGCGUAAAGGGUGCGUAGGCGGCGCGGUAAGUCGGGUGUGAAAUCUCGGAGCUUAACUCCGAAACUGCAUUCGAUACUGCCGUGCUUGAGGACUGGAGAGGAGACUGGAAUUUACGGUGUAGCGGUGAAAUGCGUAGAUAUACGAAGGAACGCCAAAAGCGAAGGCAGCUCUCUGGGUCCCUACCGACGCUGGGGUGCGAAAGCAUGGGGAGCGAACAGG
This 253-nucleotide ribosomal RNA is filed under the name uncultured bacterium. Its description in RNAcentral is "partial 16S ribosomal RNA". It matches the Rfam family "Bacterial small subunit ribosomal RNA", at positions 524 to 776 of the family's 1533-position model. The record is from RNAcentral.